UGGGGAAUUUUGGACAAUGGGGGAAACCCUGAUCCAGCCAUCCCGCGUGUGCGAUGAAGGCCUUCGGGUUGGAAAGCACUUUUGGCAGGAAAGAAACGUCAUGGGUUAAUACCCCGUGAAACUGACGGUACCUGCAGAAUAAGCACCGGCUAACUACGUGCCAGCAGCCGCGGUAAUACGUAGGGUGCAAGCGUUAAUCGGAAUUACUGGGCGUAAAGCGUGCGCAGGCGGUUCGGAAAGAAAGAUGUGAAAUCCCAGAGCUCAACUUUGGAACUGCCUUUUUAACUACCGGGCUGGAGUGUGUCCGAGGGAGGUGGAAUUCCGCGUGUAGCAGUGAAAUGCGUAGAUAUGCGGAGGAACACCGAUGGCGAAGGCAGCCUCCUGGGAUAACACUGACGCUCAUGCACGAAAGCGUGGGGAGCAAACAGG
Molecule: ribosomal RNA, 429 nt
Filed under: Acidobacteriota bacterium
Lineage: Bacteria; Pseudomonadati; Acidobacteriota
Description: Acidobacteria bacterium partial 16S ribosomal RNA
Rfam family: Bacterial small subunit ribosomal RNA
Source: RNAcentral